GACGAACGCUGGCGGCGUGCUUAACACAUGCAAGUCGUACGGUAAGGCCCUUUCGGGGGUACACGAGUGGCGAACGGGUGAGUAACACGUGAGUAACCUGCCCACAACUUUGGGAUAACGCUAGGAAACUGGUGCUAAUACUGGAUAUGUGCUCCUGCUGCAUGGUGGGGGUUGGAAAGCUCCGGCGGUUGUGGAUGGACUCGCGGCCUAUCAGCUUGUUGGUGGGGUAGUGGCCUACCAAGGCGGCGACGGGUAGCCGGCCUGAGAGGGUGACCGGCCACAUUGGGACUGAGGUACGGCCCAGACUCCUACGGGAGGCAGCAGUGGGGAAUAUUGCACAAUGGGCGCAAGCCUGAUGCAGCAACGCCGCGUGCGGGAUGACGGCCUUCGGGUUGUAAACCGCUUUCAGCAGGGACGAAGCUUUUUGUGACGGUACCUGCAGAAGAAGCACCGGCUAACUACGU
RNAcentral lists this ribosomal RNA (464 nucleotides) under uncultured bacterium. RNAcentral's name for it is "partial 16S ribosomal RNA". It matches the Rfam family "Bacterial small subunit ribosomal RNA", at positions 28 to 506 of the family's 1533-position model. The record is from RNAcentral.